UGGGGAAUAUUGCACAAUGGGGGGAACCCUGAUGCAGCGACGCCGCGUGGGUGAAGGAGUAUUUCGGUAUGUAAAGCCCUAUCAGCAGGGAAGAUAAUGACGGUACCUGACUAAGAAGCCCCGGCUAACUACGUGCC
This 137-nucleotide ribosomal RNA is filed under the name uncultured bacterium. RNAcentral's name for it is "partial 16S ribosomal RNA". It matches the Rfam family "Bacterial small subunit ribosomal RNA", at positions 355 to 509 of the family's 1533-position model. The record is from RNAcentral.